CAAUGUAAACUCGAACAAACCUUU
Molecule: unclassified non-coding RNA, 24 nt
Filed under: Dictyostelium discoideum
Lineage: Eukaryota; Evosea; Eumycetozoa; Dictyosteliales; Dictyosteliaceae
Source: RNAcentral